GAACGAAAGUCUUAUGGAUUUGGAACGGCAUGAGGGCAAAUUCGAGUGACCAACUUGAACAUGAGCGCAACCUGCGUGGCGAUUGACUUUCGUUCUCACGAGAAACUCCCACUCACAUGAAUUCCUAUGACUGGAUUUUGCUUGCAAGAUUUCACUGAACAAAGGGCAUACUCCAGGCAACCAGGGGAGAAGAAGAGAGAAAUGGAGGGAGGAAAAAGAACUAGGCCAUCUAAAAAAAGGAGAGAUGGGGAACAGGAACUCUCACCUGGCAGGAUUUGAUGACACACAUAAGUUGCAGGAUGUAAUUCAAACUAAGUUUCAGAAUAGCAGCGGUCUGAAACACAUCAACAAAACAAUUUGCUCUUGAGUUUGUUACA
Molecule: long non-coding RNA, 377 nt
Organism: Megalobrama amblycephala (Wuchang bream)
Lineage: Eukaryota; Metazoa; Chordata; Actinopteri; Cypriniformes; Xenocyprididae
Exons: 3
Source: RefSeq, a predicted model, not a curated record